UUCCUACGGGUGGCUGCAGUGGGGAAUAUUGCGCAAUGGGGGAAACCCUGACGCAGCGACGCCGUGUGAGGGAAGAAGGCCUUCGGGUCGUAAACCUCUGUCGGGAGGGAAGAACCGCCGGGUUCCGAACAGGGACUCGGCCUGACGGUACCUCCGAAGGAAGCGCCGGCUAACUCCGUGCCAGCAGCCGCGGUAAUACGGAGGGCGCGAGCGUUAAUCGGAAUCACUGGGCGUAAAGCGCGCGUAGGCGGCGAGAGAGGUCGGGCGUGAAAGCCCUCGGCUCAACCGAGGAACUGCGUUCGAUACUGUUUGGCUUGAGUCCUGGAGAGGGUGGCGGAAUUCCGGGUGUAGGAGUGAAAUCCGUAGAUAUCCGGAGGAACACCGGUGGCGAAGGCGGCCACCUGGACAGGUACUGACGCUGAGGUGCGAAAGCGUGGGGAGCAAACAGGAUUAGAUACCCUAGUAGUCAG
Molecule: ribosomal RNA, 470 nt
Filed under: uncultured Desulfovibrio sp.
Lineage: Bacteria; Pseudomonadati; Thermodesulfobacteriota; Desulfovibrionia; Desulfovibrionales; Desulfovibrionaceae
Description: bacterial SSU rRNA
Rfam family: Bacterial small subunit ribosomal RNA
Source: RNAcentral